Molecule: regulatory RNA element, 96 nt
Organism: Streptomyces sp.
Lineage: Bacteria; Bacillati; Actinomycetota; Actinomycetes; Kitasatosporales; Streptomycetaceae
Rfam family: Glycine riboswitch aptamer
About the family: This family represents the bacterial glycine riboswitch.
Source: Rfam
UGACCCCGUGCGGGAGAGUCCUCCAGACUUCAUAGGAGGCGCCGAAGGAGCAAAUCCUCCCCGGAAUCUCUCAGGCCCACGUACCGCACGGACGAG